CAGCAGCCGCGGUAAUACGUAGGGUGCAAGCGUUAAUCGGAAUUACUGGGCGUAAAGCGUGCGCAGGCGGUUUGUUAAGACAGAUGUGAAAUCCCCGGGCUCAACCUGGGAACUGCAUUUGUGACUGGCAAGCUAGAGUGUGGCAGAGGGGGGUGGAAUUCCGCGUGUAGCAGUGAAACGCGUAGAUAUGCGGAGGAACACCGAUGGCGAAGGCAGCCCCCUGGGCCAACACUGACGCUCAUGCACGAAAGCGUGGGGAGCAAACAGGAUUAGAUACCCCAGUAGUCCCUGUCUCUUAUAC
RNAcentral lists this ribosomal RNA (301 nucleotides) under uncultured bacterium. Its description in RNAcentral is "partial 16S ribosomal RNA". It matches the Rfam family "Bacterial small subunit ribosomal RNA", at positions 509 to 807 of the family's 1533-position model. The record is from RNAcentral.